UACGGGGGGAGCAAGCGUUGUUCGGAUUUACUGGGCGUAAAGGGCGGGUAGGCGGCCACCGCAAGUCAGUUGUGAAAUCUCUGGGCUUAACCCAGAAAGGUCAACUGAUACUGCGGGGCUAGAGUGCAGAAGGGGCAACUGGAAUUCUCGGUGUAGCGGUGAAAUGCGUAGAUAUCAGGAAGAACACCCGUGGCUAAGGCGGCUCUCUAGUACGGUACUGACGCUGAGACGCGAAAGCGUGGGGAGCGAACAGG
Molecule: ribosomal RNA, 254 nt
Filed under: uncultured bacterium
Lineage: Bacteria
Description: partial 16S ribosomal RNA
Rfam family: Bacterial small subunit ribosomal RNA
Source: RNAcentral